RNAcentral lists this ribosomal RNA (446 nucleotides) under uncultured bacterium. Its description in RNAcentral is "bacterial SSU rRNA". It matches the Rfam family "Bacterial small subunit ribosomal RNA", at positions 16 to 507 of the family's 1533-position model. The record is from RNAcentral.
AUCAUGGCUCAGAACGAACGCUGGCGGCAUGCCUAACACAUGCAAGUCGAACGCCUGUAGCAAUACAGGAGUGGCGCACGGGUGAGUAACGCGUGGGAACCUGCCUAGUGGUAAGGAAUAACCGCGGGAAACUGCGGCUAAUACCUUAUGAGCCCUACGGGGGAAAGAUUAUCGCCAUUAGAGGGGCCCGCGUCUGAUUAGCUAGUUGGUGAGGUAACGGCUCACCAAGGCGACGACCGGUAGCUGGUCUGAGAGGAUGAUCAGCCACACUGGGACUGAGACACGGCCCAGACUCCUACGGGAGGCAGCAGUGGGGAGUAUUGGACAAUGGGGGCAACCCUGAUCCAGCAAUGCCGCGUGAGUGAUGAAGGCCUUAGGGUUGUAAAGCUCUUUCGACGGGGAAGAUGAUGACGGUACCCGUAGAAGAAGCCCCGGCUAACUUCGUG